GGCACUACGGUGCUGAAGCAACAAAUGCCCUGCUUCCAGGAAAAGCCUCUAAGCAUCAGGUAACAUCAAAUCGUACCCCAAACCGACACAGGUGGUCAGGUAGAGAAUACCAAGGCGCUUGAGAGAACUCGGGUGAAGGAACUAGGCAAAAUGGUGCCGUAACUUCGGGAGAAGGCACGCUGACACGUAGGUGAAGUGAUUUACUCAUGGAGCUGAAGUCAGUCGAAGAUACCAGCUGGCUGCAACUGUUUAUUAAAAACACAGCACUGUGCAAACACGAAAGUGGACGUAUACGGUGUGACGCCUGCCCGGUGCCGGAAGGUUAAUUGAUGGGGUCAGCGCAAGCGAAGCUCCUGAUCGAAGCCCCGGUAAACGGCGGCCGUAACUAUAACGGUCCUAAGGUAGCGAAAUUCCUUGUCGGGUAAGUUCCGACCUGCACGAAUGGCGUAAUGAUGGCCAGGCUGUCUCCACCCGAGACUCAGUGAAAUUGAACUCGCUGUGAAGAUGCAGUGUACCCGCGGCAAGACGGAAAGACCCCGUGAACCUUUACUAUAGCUUGACACUGAACAUUGAGCCUUGAUGUGUAGGAUAGGUGGGAGGCUUUGAAGCGUGGACGCCAGUCUGCGUGGAGCCAACCUUGAAAUACCACCCUUUAAUGUUUGAUGUUCUAACGUGGACCCGUAAUCCGGGUUGCGGACAGUGUCUGGUGGGUAGUUUGACUGGGGCGGUCUCCUCCUAAAGAGUAACGGAGGAGCACGAAGGUUGGCUAAUCCUGGUCGGACAUCAGGAGGUUAGUGCAAUGGCAUAAGCCAGCUUGACUGCGAGCGUGACGGCGCGAGCAGGUGCGAAAGCAGGUCAUAGUGAUCCGGUGGUUCUGAAUGGAAGGGCCAUCGCUCAACGGAUAAAAGGUACUCCGGGGAUAACAGGCUGAUACCGCCCAAGAGUUCAUAUCGACGGCGGUGUUUGGCACCUCGAUGUCGGCUCAUCACAUCCUGGGGCUGAAGUAGGUCCCAAGGGUAUGGCUGUUCGCCAUUUAAAGUGGUACGCGAGCUGGGUUUAGAACGUCGUGAGACAGUUCGGUCCCUAUCUGCCGUGGGCGCUGGAGAACUGAGGGGGGCUGCUCCUAGUACGAGAGGACCGGAGUGGACGCAUCACUGGUGUUCGGGUUGUCAUGCCAAUGGCACUGCCCGGUAGCUAAAUGCGGAAGAGAUAAGUGCUGAAAGCAUCUAAGCACGAAACUUGCCCCGA
RNAcentral lists this ribosomal RNA (1248 nucleotides) under Salmonella enterica subsp. enterica serovar Senftenberg. RNAcentral's name for it is "partial 23S ribosomal RNA". It matches the Rfam family "Bacterial large subunit ribosomal RNA", at positions 1573 to 2802 of the family's 2925-position model. Lineage: Bacteria; Pseudomonadati; Pseudomonadota; Gammaproteobacteria; Enterobacterales; Enterobacteriaceae. The record is from RNAcentral.